Molecule: ribosomal RNA, 380 nt
Filed under: Craugastor podiciferus (Cerro Utyum robber frog)
Lineage: Eukaryota; Metazoa; Chordata; Amphibia; Anura; Craugastoridae
Description: partial 16S ribosomal RNA
Rfam family: Bacterial large subunit ribosomal RNA
Source: RNAcentral
CCGGCAAAGGAAGCACAAACACUUGUCUCUUAAAUCGGGACCUGAUGAAUGGCAUCACGAGGAAUUAACUGUCUCCCCUCACCAAUCAGUGAAACUAAUCUCCCUGUGAAAAAGCAGGGCUACCUAUACAAGACGAGAAGACCCUAUGGAGCUUUUAACUAAUAACAUUUGUACGACCUUCCCAUAACCCUCCAACAUUGUACUUACACGUUUUCGGUUGGGGYGACCCUGGAGAAAAACCUAACCUCCAUGCUGYUAAAUAUAAGAACCGCAAUUCUACAAUCAACAAUAUUGACACAAUUGACCCAAACAUUUUGAUCAAACGAACCAAGUUACCCCUAGGGAUAAACAGCGCCAUCCACCUUUUAAGAGCACAUAUC